UGGUGGAGUGAUUUGUCUGGUUAAUUCCGUUAACGAACGAGACCUUGACCUGCUAAAUAGUCGCUCGAAUCUUCUGAUUCGUGAUAGACUUCUUAGAGGGACUUUGCGUGUCUAACGCAAGGAAGUUUGAGGCAAUAACA
Molecule: ribosomal RNA, 140 nt
Filed under: uncultured eukaryote
Lineage: Eukaryota
Description: partial 18S ribosomal RNA
Rfam family: Eukaryotic small subunit ribosomal RNA
Source: RNAcentral